ACUGUUGUCUUGGAGAUAAUCAAGUCAUGGCCAACUCUUCUGGAAGGAAUUAGCACAGUCGGGCAAGUAUCUUGAAAUCCACUGAAGUCCUAUUUUUGCCAUGGACUGGAAGGAAGGCUUAAGUAAAAGCUAUUGCUACUUCUGUGAAUUUAUUUUUGCUUAGGUAAUGGAUUCACUGGAUUACAGUCUGGUCUAAGAAUGUCAAAUUCAGAAACUAUGCAACUUCAAUGUGGCAAAGACCUCGUAAAGAGCCAACGAACAGAAGAAGAAAAGAAUCGACCCCAAGGCUGAAGAACUGUUAUCCCUCUGCAGUACAUGGGGGUUUGAGCUCACGUCAAUGUGCCUGACCUAAGGGCAAAUGGAGCUAAGCAGGAGGGAGAAUUAGACACUUGCCACGGCUUGGAGACAGGGUCUACUGCUCUCUGCUGAACCAGAGGAAAGAACACACUGGCUCCUGAACCUUCGCAGGAAGACAAGGCGAGGGCUGCUGGGUGCCCGUCGCUGCUCACAGCACAGAACGUCCCACUCCUCAGACUCUUUGUCCCCGUCCUAAGACUGUCCUUCACUUGGUCCAUCCAAUCCAAAAUAUGGGCAUACGAAACACACCUCAUCCUUCACACACACAACAUGCUCAACCUUCACUAGCCACGUGACUUUCUUUCUCACAUCAUCCUGAAUUUGCUUUUCUGAAAUUUACUUUUCAAUCUUCUGACUUUUCUUCAUACCUAAGAAGACUGGACAAAGUGCUUGAAAAGCAAAUGGAAACAUUUUAUGAAUAACUACGCAAAGGAAAGACAUAUAAAUAUUUUUAAAGUUUCCCUUCUACAGAAAUGAGCUUAAGUCAACACUACAGUUGCCACUAAGUGUAAGGAUUCGUGAAGGGGAAAACGACGGACUCCCUUCCCUCUGUUCUUCUCAAGUAAUGCAAAUUAGAGUGCCUGGAAUAAGGGGACCAAGGCCUGAGAUCAAGGAUAAAGUGGUGUCCGCCAACAACCUCUUGUUUGUGUUUUGAUCACCAUCAUUAUUCUAAUAAAGGAAGCUGAAAGUUGUA
Long non-coding RNA from Homo sapiens (human), 1051 nucleotides. Ensembl annotates it as CELF2 antisense RNA 2. Its record names the gene CELF2-AS2. Lineage: Eukaryota; Metazoa; Chordata; Mammalia; Primates; Hominidae. The record is from Ensembl.